CUUAUAAAGGAACCUUACUCUCUAUUCCGUGGGCUACCUGUGGUUUUGCUGGGUCUUGCUCCUGCAAGGUCUCAGUUCUCUGUGAUUUCCAGAUAAACCUUUUUUUUUCUUUGCUGGCAAAAUAACUGGUAGUUUUAUUUUUAAGAUUAACAUUAGUGGGUGACCAGAAGUAGGAUCCAGAGAAGACCCCAACAACACUCUAUGCUGCUGAGCGAACAGGGGCUGGUACCCACGGAGCCAGUUGAAUUCACUGCUUUCUUGCCCACCCUGGAGUCUGAGGCCUGAGAUUUAAAGAGAGAACAGCUGGAAUGCUACAGUGAGAAGAGUUCAUGCUUCUAUCAAGCUACCAGUCUCUUUACGGGCAAGAUCCUCAAUGAUGCGAGCAGAAUCCACACUACACCUUCUCCAUCAAGAUUCCAAUAGAUCCCUCAAAAGUCUCUUCUCAUAAUUAAUCAGUACCCAACAAAUGAAGAAGCCUUCAAGGCAUGAAGCCCACAAAAAAUAUUACAAGGCUCAGGGCCUCAUUAUCCCCUGCACUAGUCCCUGUAAUACCCCUAUUUUACCUGUGAGAAAACCCAGUGGCUGAGGAUGGAGGUUUUGCCAGGACCUCUGAGCAAUAAAUACCAUCCUUAUCCCUUGGCACUGUGUUCCUAGCCCCCAUAUGCCACUAACAUCCUAUUCCCACUGAAAGCAUUUUCACUGUAAUUAAUCGGUGCAGUGUAAUUUUAGUAUUCUAGGUGAUAAGGAUAGCCAAAAUCUUCUUACUUUCACUUGGGAAGAACAGAAAUACACCUAGACAGUAAUGCCAGUGUUUCAGUCUUUACUUUUCACAAACCUUAUAGACUAAUUUGGAUGAACAGCAGGUUCUACUUUGUUAUAAUACGUAGAUGAUUUACUUCUCUUCUUCCCUUGCUGAACCAACCACACCCAGUUGUCAAAACUCUUGGCUUUAAAGGGACAUCAAGUUUCCAAAGAAAAAUUUCAGUUUAUCAAACUUAGGCUCUAUACGUAGGGAAUCUGAUCUCAAAACAAAAACUACUUUUGGAUUCAAAUGAAACCCCUCAUGACUGCUUAAUGCUGACAGGUUACCUUUCUAAUCCCUGUGGCAAUUCACAGGAAACUCCUCUAAUUAAUGCAGAUUUUCAUGGUUUACUGAUGGUUCCUAUAAAAAGGAUGAAAAUGAUAAAUACUGUGCUAGUUUAUUAUUGCGGCUCCUUUUGAAGUCAUCAAGACAGUACCUUUACUUUGUGGCAAGUUCAGCCCAACAAACAGAAUUAUAUGCCCUACUUACCCUAGCCAAGGGUGAAAUGACUAGCAUUUAUGCUAAUAGUUGGUAUGCCUUUGGGGUUGCUCAUGACUUUGUAAUAUGGAAAAAAAACAAAUUGCC
Long non-coding RNA from Canis lupus familiaris (dog), 1387 nucleotides. RefSeq lists it as uncharacterized. Lineage: Eukaryota; Metazoa; Chordata; Mammalia; Carnivora; Canidae. The record is from RefSeq and is a predicted model, not a curated record. The transcript is spliced from 3 exons.